CUUCUUUUUCCCCGGAGCUUGCUCCACCGGAAAAAGAAGAGUGGCGAACGGGUGAGUAACACGUGGGUAACCUGCCCAUCAGAAGGGGAUAACACUUGGAAACAGGUGCUAAUACCGUAUAACAAUCAAAACCGCAUGGUUUUGAUUUGAAAGGCGCUUUCGGGUGUCGCUGAUGGAUGGACCCGCGGUGCAUUAGCUAGUUGGUGAGGUAACGGCUCACCAAGGCCACGAUGCAUAGCCGACCUGAGAGGGUGAUCGGCCACAUUGGGACUGAGACACGGCCCAAACUCCUACGGGAGGCAGCAGUAGGGAAUCUUCGGCAAUGGACGAAAGUCUGACCGAGCAACGCCGCGUGAGUGAAGAAGGUUUUCGGAUCGUAAAACUCUGUUGUUAGAGAAGAACAAGGAUGAGAGUAACUGUUCAUCCCUUGACGGUAUCUAACCAGAAAGCCACGGCUAACUACGUGCCAGCAGCCGCGGUAAUACGUAGGUGGCAAGCGUUGUCCGGAUUUAUUGGGCGUAAAGCGAGCGCAGGCGGUUUCUUAAGUCUGAUGUGAAAGCCCCCGGCUCAACCGGGGAGGGUCAUUGGAAACUGGGAGACUUGAGUGCAGAAGAGGAGAGUGGAAUUCCAUGUGUAGCGGUGAAAUGCGUAGAUAUAUGGAGGAACACCAGUGGCGAAGGCGGCUCUCUGGUCUGUAACUGACGCUGAGGCUCGAAAGCGUGGGGAGCAAACAGGAUUAGAUACCCUGGUAGUCCACGCCGUAAACGAUGAGUGCUAAGUGUUGGAGGGUUUCCGCCCUUCAGUGCUGCAGCUAACGCAUUAAGCACUCCGCCUGGGGAGUACGACCGCAAGGUUGAAACUCAAAGGAAUUGACGGGGGCCCGCACAAGCGGUGGAGCAUGUGGUUUAAUUCGAAGCAACGCGAAGAACCUUACCAGGUCUUGACAUCCUUUGACCACUCUAGAGAUAGAGCUUCCCCUUCGGGGGCAAAGUGACAGGUGGUGCAUGGUUGUCGUCAGCUCGUGUCGUGAGAUGUUGGGUUAAGUCCCGCAACGAGCGCAACCCUUAUUGUUAGUUGCCAUCAUUCAGUUGGGCACUCUAGCAAGACUGC
This 1110-nucleotide ribosomal RNA is filed under the name Enterococcus faecium. Its description in RNAcentral is "bacterial SSU rRNA". It matches the Rfam family "Bacterial small subunit ribosomal RNA", at positions 68 to 1152 of the family's 1533-position model. Lineage: Bacteria; Bacillati; Bacillota; Bacilli; Lactobacillales; Enterococcaceae. The record is from RNAcentral.